CAUUUCACUGUAAGGUCUACUACACCUGUUGUAUUCAGCAUUUCACUGUAAGGUCUACCUACACCUGUUGUAUUCAGCAUUUCACUGUAAGGUCUACCUACACCUGUUGUAUUCAGCAUUUCACUGUAAGGUCUACUACACCUGUUGUAUUCAGCAUUUCACUGUAAGGUCUACUACACCUGUUGUAUUCAGUAUUUCACUGUAAGGUCUACUACACCUGUUGUAUUCAGCAUUUCACUGUAAGGUCUACUACACCUGUUGUAUUCAGCAUUUCACUGUAAGGUCUACUAGACCUGUUGUAUUCAGCAUUUCACUGUAAGGUCUACUACACCUGUUGUAUUCAACAUUUCACUGUAAGGUCUACUACACCUGUUGUAUUCAGCAUUUCACUGUAAGGUCUACCUACACCUGUUGUAUUCAGCAUUUCACUGUAAGGU
Molecule: long non-coding RNA, 437 nt
Organism: Oncorhynchus tshawytscha (Chinook salmon)
Lineage: Eukaryota; Metazoa; Chordata; Actinopteri; Salmoniformes; Salmonidae
Source: Ensembl